UGGCUGUUCAUCACCAAAGGAAGUCAGGU
RNAcentral lists this non-coding RNA (29 nucleotides) under Rattus norvegicus (Norway rat). The record is from RNAcentral. Lineage: Eukaryota; Metazoa; Chordata; Mammalia; Rodentia; Muridae.